AUAUAAGAAUUAUAUAUAAUUAGGACUUUUUAAAGAACAACAUUUUGGGGGUGCCUGGGUGGCUCAGUGGGUUAAAGCCUCUGCCUUUGGCUCAGGUCAUGAUCC
This is a long non-coding RNA of Mustela erminea (ermine), 105 nucleotides long. RefSeq lists it as uncharacterized. The record is from RefSeq and is a predicted model, not a curated record. NCBI's taxonomy places the organism in Eukaryota, Metazoa, Chordata, Mammalia, Carnivora, Mustelidae. The transcript is spliced from 3 exons.